RNAcentral lists this transfer RNA (75 nucleotides) under Candidatus Nomurabacteria bacterium RIFCSPHIGHO2_01_FULL_37_25. RNAcentral's name for it is "tRNA-Thr". It matches the Rfam family "tRNA". Rfam says of the family: Transfer RNA (tRNA) molecules are approximately 80 nucleotides in length. The record is from RNAcentral. RNAcentral also lists the same sequence under 3 other names. Lineage: Bacteria; Candidatus Nomuraibacteriota.
GCCGUUGUAGCUUAGUGGUAAAGCACUGUCUUGGUAAGACAGAGACCGUGAGUCCGAUCCUCACCAACGGCUCCA